GGACACUUGAAGGCUUGGAAGAAAACACUGGAUCUCUACUGGCUCGUGGCUGUUGAUAAACUGGCAAGGACGCAGAGGCUGAGAGGUGUUUAAGUAGGGCGGGGCCCAGGUGGAACAGGUAAGCAAACAGGCGUGGCAGGUGAGCUGAAUCAAUAAGGUUUUCUCUUCUUCU
Molecule: long non-coding RNA, 172 nt
Organism: Xiphophorus hellerii (green swordtail)
Lineage: Eukaryota; Metazoa; Chordata; Actinopteri; Cyprinodontiformes; Poeciliidae
Exons: 3
Source: RefSeq, a predicted model, not a curated record